RNAcentral lists this unclassified non-coding RNA (348 nucleotides) under soil metagenome. RNAcentral describes it as "partial contains 5.8S ribosomal RNA, internal transcribed spacer 2, and large subunit ribosomal RNA". The stretch from base 1 to 120 matches the Rfam family "5.8S ribosomal RNA", at positions 35 to 154 of the family's 154-position model. The record is from RNAcentral.
GAUGAAGAACGUAGUGAAAUGUGAUAAGUAAUGUGAAUUGCAGAAUUCAGUGAAUCAUCGAAUCUUUGAACGCACAUUGCGCCCGCCAGUAUUCUGGCGGGCAUGCCUGUCUGAGCGUCAUUUCAACCCUCAUGCCCCUAGGGCGUGGUGUUGGGGAUCGGCCAAAGCCCGCGAGGGACGGCCGGCCCCUAAAUCUAGUGGCGGACCCGUCGUGGCCUCCUCUGCGAAGUAGUGAUAUUCCGCAUCGGAGAGCGACGAGCCCCUGCCGUUAAACCCCCAACUUUCCAAGGUUGACCUCAGAUCAGGUAGGAAUACCCGCUGAACUUAAGCAUAUCAAUAAGCGGAGGA